GAUGAACGCUGGCGGCGUGCCUAACACAUGCAAGUCGAGCGAACCCUUCGGGGUGAGCGGCGGACGGGUGAGUAACGCGUGGGUAACCUGCCCUAUACACACGGAUAACGUACCGAAAGGUACGCUAAUACGGGAUAAAGUUGUUGGAUGGCAUCUUCUAACAAUCAAAGCUCUGGCGGUAUAGGGUGGACCCGCGUCUGAUUAGCUAGUUGGUGAGGUAAUGGCUCACCAAGGCGACGAUGAGUAGCCGACCUGAGCGGGCGAUCGGCCACACUAGAACUGAGAAAAGGUCCAGACUCCUACGGGAGGCAGCAGUGGGGAAUAUUGCACAAUGGGCGAAAGCCUGAUGCAGCAACGCCGCGUGAGCGAUUAAGGUCUUCGGAUCGUAAAGCUCUGUCCUCAGGGAAGAUAAUGACGGUACUUGAGGAGGAAGCCCCGGCUAACUACGUGCCAGCAGCCGCAGUAA
This 466-nucleotide ribosomal RNA is filed under the name uncultured bacterium. Its description in RNAcentral is "partial 16S ribosomal RNA". It matches the Rfam family "Bacterial small subunit ribosomal RNA", at positions 28 to 523 of the family's 1533-position model. The record is from RNAcentral.